UGAAGCCCAAUGGGCAAGUUGCUUAACUGACAUCUCAUUUGAUAGAUGAGCAAGGCAGUGCCAGCCCAGCAAGGUCCACGAAGAGGUGCAACAGGUUUUGAACCGAGCAGGGGUCAGUCCAACUCAAUUACGUUUGAUUUAUUUAUGGACUGUCUGCUCUGCUAGCCGCCAGGAACUCUGAAAUGAGCCAGACACACAUGGAGGCUGUCCUCAUCUAACUUAUACCCUGUCUAGAGAGGGAUAUGGACAAACAGGCUACUUCAAUAUGACAAGACCAAAAGCAUUAAUUAUUAGAACCAAGCGUGGAGGUCUUUCCAGAAGCUGGCAAGCUGGCUUUGCCUUCCUUUGUACUUUCCAAGAAAUUACUACCCUGGACUCAACUGAAAAUGAGGAUCAUCUGAUUUCAGCUCAUUUAGAAGGAAUUGGGGAGAAUCUGAAUGAUGGCAACCCACCCUCAACCUGACGGUGUGUGGUGUGUACCACUUUGCUCUGCCCUGUUCUGUGCUCUGAGACUUGGCACCCACUGUGAGUGGCUAGAGUAUUAUCUCCUCCUAGCUGCUCUCGAAUCUACCCUUCUCCUCAAAAAGCCUUUCAUUUCUACUCGUGAGGUCAGACUUUUUUAAAUUGUUCUUAAAUUUAUUUAAGAGAGAAAGUGUGCAUGAUCAGGAGGGAGGGGCAGAGAGAGGGGGAGAAGCAGACUCCCAGCUGAGCACAGAGCCAGACAUAGGGCUCCUUCUCAGGACCCUGGGACCAUGACCUGAGCUCAAGUCUGACAUUUAACUGAAUGAGCCUCUCAGGCUCAUUCUCAAGGUCAGACUUUUUUGAUGUAACAAAGAUAAGACACUGUCUCAUCAUGGCCAAUUUAUGUACUUAUUCUGAAAAUGGAGUCUGGGGAAGGUUCUGCAGGUGUUAGCUGAGCUCUGUGCCAACUCUAUAUUGGACACCAGAGAAAAAUACCCCCAGAGACAUUGGACAUGAGCCAGGUGAGCUUCAGGAGAUGGGGAAGAGGGUAAAUGGGUGCCAGGUUCUACAUGGCAGGAUUCAUUCAGUCAGUAAACAUUUAACAUAUAUCAACAGAGUGUCCACUACAUCCCAAAGCAUACAACAAGGAAAAGACACAGUCCUUCCCCUCUAGGACACCACAGUCCACUGAGAGGGAAAGGCAAUUAAAAGUUCGUUACAAUACAGCAUGCUCAUCACUCCCAUGGGAGAAAGCCAAUGUGAAAUAAAGUAACACAGGGGCAGGAAAUGACUCCAAGUUGUGGGGUUGACAAAGGACUUCUAGAAGGAAGGCAGAGCCAGAAUUAAGAGAUCCAUGGUCAUCCAUAGUGUUUCCCUGGGCUGGAUGGCAGAAGAUGGAGGAGAAAAGGCUAGAAAUCAAUACCUAUAGGAGCCAUGACUUUAUUGGCAUUCCACCAGGAAAGUCCGUCUCUCAGUAUUUGUUUUCUAGUCCCUCCAACUUGCUUGAUCUGCCUUCUCCUAUCAGAUUUGUACACCAAAGAAACAAGCACUACAGAAGAAAGGAAAAAAGAGAGAGAAGAAGAAGAGAAGAGAAGAGAAGAGGAAGAGGAGAGGAGAGGAGAGGA
Molecule: long non-coding RNA, 1586 nt
Organism: Canis lupus familiaris (dog)
Lineage: Eukaryota; Metazoa; Chordata; Mammalia; Carnivora; Canidae
Exons: 3
Source: RefSeq, a predicted model, not a curated record